This 374-nucleotide unclassified non-coding RNA is filed under the name uncultured fungus. RNAcentral's name for it is "sequence contains ITS1". The record is from RNAcentral. Lineage: Eukaryota; Fungi.
UUUUCGCCACAGGUGUUCCUCCUGAUAUCUGCGCAUUUCACCGCUACACCAGGAAUUCCAGUCUCCCCUGCCGAACUCAAGUGAUGCCCGUAUCGACCGCACGCUCAGGGUUGAGCCCCAAGUUUUCACGACCGACGCGACACACCGCCUACGAGCUCUUUACGCCCAAUAAUUCCGGACAACGCUCGCACCCUACGUAUUACCGCGGCUGCUGGCACGUAGUUGGCCGGUGCUUCUUCUACCGGUACCGUCAGUCACCCUUCGUCCCGGUCGAAAGAGGUUUACAACCCGAAGGCCGUCAUCCCCCACGCGGCGUCGCUGCGUCAGGCUUUCGCCCAUUGCGCAAUAUUCCCCACUGCUGCACCCCAUAGGGU